RNAcentral lists this small RNA (20 nucleotides) under Arabidopsis thaliana (thale cress). RNAcentral describes it as "ATSL253910". The record is from RNAcentral. Lineage: Eukaryota; Viridiplantae; Streptophyta; Magnoliopsida; Brassicales; Brassicaceae.
UUUUUUUUUCCUUUUUUCUU